This is a non-coding RNA of Nicotiana tabacum (common tobacco), 717 nucleotides long. The record is from RefSeq and is a predicted model, not a curated record. Lineage: Eukaryota; Viridiplantae; Streptophyta; Magnoliopsida; Solanales; Solanaceae.
GUGUGUAAUAAAACAACAAAUUCUAAUUUUCUGAAUAUUUUUUGGUUGUGGAAAUCAGGUUACUGGGAAAGUGACCUAUAAUGGACAUGAAAUGAAUAAAUUUGUGCCACAAAGAACUGCUGCUUAUAUUAGCCAGCAUGAUUUACACAUUGGAGAAAUGACUGUGCGAGAAACGUUGAAAUUCUCAGAUGCCAGGGAGUUGGCUCUCGUUAUGAUAUGUUGGCCGAACUGUCAAGAAGAGAGAAAGCAGCUAAAAUCAAGCCAGAUCCUGAUAUUGAUAUCUUUAUGAAGGAAAAAGACUAGCAUUUAAGGAAACAGCAAUACCGACGCCAGUGCUUAUAACCUUAAUUGUUUUGUGACAACAUAGGCAGCAGCAACAGAGGGACAAGAAGCCAAUGUUGUUACAGAUUAUGUUCUUAAGUUGUUGGGGUUGGAAAUUUGUGCCGAUACUUUGGUGGGAGAUGAAAUGAUAAGGGGUAUUUCAGGAGGACAAAAGAAGCGUGUGACAACAGGUGAAAUGCUUGUUGGACCGUCAAAGGCACUUUUCAUGGAUGAAAUUUCAACUGGAUUGGACAGUUCCACCACUUACUCCAUUGUUAACUCUCUAAGGCAAUUUGUGCAAAUCAUGAACGGAACUGCUAUUAUAUCUCUCUUGCAGCUAGCACCCGAGACCUACGACUUGUUUGAUGACAUUAUUCUGUUAUCAGAUGGGCAAAU